This 706-nucleotide small RNA is filed under the name Athallia scopularis. Its description in RNAcentral is "mitochondrial SSU rRNA". It matches the Rfam family "Bacterial small subunit ribosomal RNA", at positions 371 to 1121 of the family's 1533-position model. Lineage: Eukaryota; Fungi; Ascomycota; Lecanoromycetes; Teloschistales; Teloschistaceae. The record is from RNAcentral.
AUAGCCUAACGGCUGAACCAGCAACUUGGAGGAAUGUAUAGCAAUUGCUAUUUGCACUAAAGGUUUUAGUGUAAAAUCGACUUUGUCGAAUAAAUUCUGGAUAGAAUUAUGAUAAUGACAUUACCUAUCCAUAAGUCUUGACCAAAUUACGUGCCAGCAGUCGCGGUAAUACGUAGAAGACAAGUGUUAUUCAUCUUUAAUAGGUUUAAAGGGUACUUAGACGGUAAAUAAAGCCUCCAAAAGGGACUAAUUUGCUAGAGUUUUAUAUGAAGGAGUUUUAAAGUACUACUGGUGUAGAGAUGAAAUUCAGUUAUACCUUACAUGGCACAGGUUAAGGCGAAAGCAUCUUCUUAUGUAAAAACUGACGUUGAAGGACGAAGGCUUUGUGUCUCGAACAGGAUUAGAUACCCUAGUAGUCUAAGCAGAAAAUGAUGAAUGUCAUAGAUUAGAUUUAAUUUGAUCUGUAAAUGAAAGUGUAAGCAUUCCACCUCAAGAGUAAUUUGGCAACAUUGGAACUGAAAUCAUUAGACCGUUUCUGAAACCAGUAGUGAAGUAUGUUGUUUAAUUUGAUAAUCCGCAAAAAACCUUACCACAAUUUGAAUAGAUAUAUUUUAUCAUACAAGCGUUGCACGGCUGUCUUCAGUUAAUGUCGUGAGACUUUGGUUAGUUCCAUUAAAUUAACGUAAACCCUUACUUUAUUUUUAUA